Molecule: ribosomal RNA, 499 nt
Filed under: uncultured bacterium
Lineage: Bacteria
Description: bacterial SSU rRNA
Rfam family: Bacterial small subunit ribosomal RNA
Source: RNAcentral
AUUGAACGCUGGCGGCAUGCCUAACACAUGCAAGUCGAACGGCAGCGCGGAUAGCUUGCUAUCUGGCGGCGAGUGGCGGACGGGUGAGUAAUACAUAGGAAUCUGCCCAGUAGUGGGGGACAACGUAGGGAAACUUACGCUAAUACCGCAUACGACCUAAGGGUGAAAGUGGGGGAUCUUCGGACCUCACGCUAUUGGAUGAGCCUAUGUCUGAUUAGCUUGUUGGUGGGGUAACGGCCUACCAAGGCGACGAUCAGUAGCUGUCUGAGAGGACGAUCAGCCACACCGGAACUGAGACACGGUCCGGACUCCUACGGGAGGCAGCAGUGGGGAAUAUUGGACAAUGGGGGAAACCCUGAUCCAGCAAUGCCGCGUGUGUGAAGAAGGCCUGCGGGUUGUAAAGCACUUUCAGUAGGGAGGAAAAGCCUCGGGAUAAUACCCCGGAGUCUUGACGUAACCUACAGAAGAAGCACCGGCUAACUCCGAGCCAGCAGCCGAC